Non-coding RNA from Pantherophis guttatus, 1098 nucleotides. Lineage: Eukaryota; Metazoa; Chordata; Lepidosauria; Squamata; Colubridae. The record is from RefSeq and is a predicted model, not a curated record.
GGGAGCUUUUGACUUGCUUCCCCCCCUCCCUCCUGUUCUGAAAUAGCCAUUCCAGCUGUGCUUAAUCACCUUUCUCCUCACAGCUUUCUCUCAGGGUAAAAGCCAGCCACCUUAUUUCUUACUCCCUUUAACAUCUUCAGCCUGUCUUCAAGGCCAGAGCUCUGCUUGUCCCCAAAAACCUUGAGCGACUUCUGGAGAACGCCAAAAGUCUUCCUUUUGCUGCUGGACGGAAAGCUCCCUUUGGUUACAGCAAAACUGUUUGAUACUCCUACCGACACCACAACAGUUGGGGUGUUGGGAGAGAACGCUGGUUGCCAGGGAGCCAUGAACCUCUACCUGAACCAAUUCUGAGAGGAUGGAGAUAGAAGUCACCCUACGCUGGAAGAGAAGAAAGGCGGUGAAGGGUGUCAUCUUUUGGAAAGCCAGCCAGCAUGCAUCAGAAUCCUCAUUUUUGAUCAUUUGAGGCUGCUUGUUCUUCUCUCCAGAUGCACCAUCUGGCACAUUACCCCAUUCUUUUCUGAGGAAACCAAUGAUUUUGCCAUGUAAUGCAAAACACCAAUGGAAUCACUACAACAGCAAAAUGCCAGCGAUGUAUAGCAGCGGUUCAGCCACAAGCGAUGGCAUGUUAAUUUGGUUUGAUUUUUUUUUUCCAGUCUGUCAUCUGGGUUGUUCUUGGCAGCCAAUCUUAAAAGGGCAUUUUCCUCUCCUCUUUCUCAUUACUAAGGAUAAUCCAAGGAUGAGGGCAAUUGCUAAUUUUGUUAAUGGUUCCAUUUCACAUUUUGCUUCCCAAAGAAAUUUUUUAAAACUAGAUUACUACUUCAUUCUGGGGUUUUUUUUUCCCCUUGUCUUUUCAUCUGCCGAUCCCAGAUCCAGCUGAUUUCUCCAAAAUAGAUAAAAUGACAUAAAUGAUGCCCAGAUAAUCAAUGCUGGGGGGGGGGGGGGAUCAAGUUCAACAAAUCUAAUAAACAAAGUACAAGCAACCUGAUUUCAGUAACACAAGUUUCCUAAAUCAGACAGUUUUAUGCCUUCAUCUAAAGCAGCUGUCUCAAAAUGAAGCUUGGGGACUUCUAAACCACUUUGGAGAUUUAUCUGGAAGUU